This is a long non-coding RNA of Zea mays, 568 nucleotides long. RefSeq lists it as uncharacterized. The transcript has 4 exons. Lineage: Eukaryota; Viridiplantae; Streptophyta; Magnoliopsida; Poales; Poaceae. The record is from RefSeq and is a predicted model, not a curated record.
GUCGACGCCCCCCGCGCCUUCGGACGUGGUGCGUGCGGAGAUGCUCGGAAGCUGCGGGUCGCCUCCCUCUUCCAUGCAGAUGCAGGAAAAGAAGCUUUCUAAGGACAACGUGAAAGAUUUAUCAGCUGAUCUACAAAAAGUCAUAGAUGACUACAUGAAAAAGAUCGAAUCCAUCCAGAAGCAGAAGGAACAAGUACUUUUUUGAUCUAUUUGUUGACUUUUUGUCUAACAAGACGUAGUGUUUGCUGGUUAUACGCUAUAACCUGAAGCGAGGAACUGAUGAAAAUUUAGACCUCAAGCUGACUGUAUGGCUGGUGAGGAAUAAUCGCCUCCGUGAAGCAUGGACCCCUGCAUAUGUUGGUGAAUUCACAAUGUAGUGAUGUGAUGUUUUCUGAAGCAAUUUGUUUGGUUCAUGGUUUUGGCGUCUCGGCGCUACGCCAGGGAUGCACGUUUUGAAUCAGGCGCUUUGCUGGAACUUUUGGGUGCACACAAGUUGAGACAAUGCUGCUGUUGUGUGUGUGUGUGUUUUGAGAUUAAGACAACGCUGCUGUGUUUUUUCUUUGAGAUU